This 468-nucleotide ribosomal RNA is filed under the name Escherichia coli. Its description in RNAcentral is "partial 23S ribosomal RNA". It matches the Rfam family "Bacterial large subunit ribosomal RNA", at positions 962 to 1428 of the family's 2925-position model. RNAcentral also lists the same sequence under 4 other names. The record is from RNAcentral. Lineage: Bacteria; Pseudomonadati; Pseudomonadota; Gammaproteobacteria; Enterobacterales; Enterobacteriaceae.
CCGGAGAAUGUUAUCACGGGAGACACACGGCGGGUGCUAACGUCCGUCGUGAAGAGGGAAACAACCCAGACCGCCAGCUAAGGUCCCAAAGUCAUGGUUAAGUGGGAAACGAUGUGGGAAGGCCCAGACAGCCAGGAUGUUGGCUUAGAAGCAGCCAUCAUUUAAAGAAAGCGUAAUAGCUCACUGGUCGAGUCGGCCUGCGCGGAAGAUGUAACGGGGCUAAACCAUGCACCGAAGCUGCGGCAGCGACGCUUAUGCGUUGUUGGGUAGGGGAGCGUUCUGUAAGCCUGCGAAGGUGUGCUGUGAGGCAUGCUGGAGGUAUCAGAAGUGCGAAUGCUGACAUAAGUAACGAUAAAGCGGGUGAAAAGCCCGCUCGCCGGAAGACCAAGGGUUCCUGUCCAACGUUAAUCGGGGCAGGGUGAGUCGACCCCUAAGGCGAGGCCGAAAGGCGUAGUCGAUGGGAAACAG